AUUGAACGCUGGCGGCAUGCUUUACACAUGCAAGUCGAACGGCAGCGGGGUAGUGCUUGCACUACUGCCGGCGAGUGGCGAACGGGUGAGUAAUAUAUCGGAACGUACCGAGUAAUGGGGGAUAACCAAUCGAAAGAUUGGCUAAUACCGCAUACGUCCUGAGGGAGAAAGCGGGGGAUCGCAAGACCUCGCGUUAUUCGAGCGGCCGAUAACUGAUUAGCUAGUUGGUGGGGUAAAGGCCUACCAAGGCGACGAUCAGUAGCGGGUCUGAGAGGACGAUCCGCCACACUGGGACUGAGACACGGCCCAGACUCCUACGGGAGGCAGUAGUGGGGAAUUUUGGACAAUGGGGGCAACCCUGAUCCAGCCAUGCCGCGUGUAUGAAGAAGGCCUUCGGGUUGUAAAGUACUUUUGUUAGGGAAGAAAAGGGAAGUGCUAAUACCACUUUUUGCUGACGGUACCUAAAGAAUAAGCACCGGCUAACUACGUG
RNAcentral lists this ribosomal RNA (490 nucleotides) under uncultured bacterium. Its description in RNAcentral is "partial 16S ribosomal RNA". It matches the Rfam family "Bacterial small subunit ribosomal RNA", at positions 30 to 507 of the family's 1533-position model. The record is from RNAcentral.